RNAcentral lists this ribosomal RNA (1488 nucleotides) under Triticum aestivum (bread wheat). Its description in RNAcentral is "partial small subunit ribosomal RNA". The record is from RNAcentral. Lineage: Eukaryota; Viridiplantae; Streptophyta; Magnoliopsida; Poales; Poaceae.
AUGACGCCAACCGGAGCCACUGCCGCUCUCGUGCUAGCAGUACUCACCCUAGCACACCAUGCCUCACUCGCCGCCGCCGGCGGCCCCAGGGUCAUCAUCGUCGGCGCCGGCAUGUCAGGGAUCUCUGCGGGGAAGCGGCUGUCGGAGGCCGGGAUAACGGACCUGGUGAUCCUGGAGGCGACGGACCACGUCGGCGGGAGGAUGCACAAGCGGGACUUCGGCGGCAUCAGCGUGGAGAUGGGCGCCAACUGGGUGGAGGGCGUCAACGGCGGCAAGAUGAACCCCAUCUGGCCCAUCGUCAACUCCACGCUCAAGCUCACCAACUUCCGCUCCGACUUCGACGACCUUGCCAGCAACGUCUACAGGGAGAAAGGUGGUGUCUACAAAAAAGCGUACGUGCAGAAGAGAAUUGACCUGUCGGACAAGGUGCAAGAGGGCGGCGAGGAACACUCUGCCAAGCUGCAUCUCAGCGGCCAGGAUGACAUGUCAAUCCUCGCCAUGCAACGCCUCAACGACCACCUUCCCAACGGGCCGUCGGCGGCAGUGGACAUGAUCCUGGACUACUUCAAGUACGACUACGAGUUCGCCGAACCGCCACGCGUGACCAGCCUGCAAAACACCAUCCCUCUCGCCACCUUCAACGACUUCGGCGACGAUGUUUACUUCGUCGCCGACCAGCGCGGCUAUGAGGCCGUCGUCUACCACCUCGCUGGCCAGUACCUCAAGGCCGACAAGUCCGGUGGCAUCAUCGACCCCCGUCUGCAGCUCAACAAGGUGGUGCGAGAGAUCUCUUACUCCGGAAGCGGCGUAAGAGUGGAGACGGAGGACAACAAGGUGUAUAAGGCAGACUAUGUCAUGGUCUCAACGAGCUUGGGGGUCUUGCAAUCAGAUCUCAUAAAAUUUGAGCCACAACUUCCUACAUGGAAGGUUCUGUCGAUCUACCAAUUUGACAUGGCUGUGUACACCAAGAUCUUUGUCAAAUUCCCCAAGAAGUUCUGGCCCGAAGGCAAAGGCAGAGAGUUCUUCCUCUACGCGAGCAGCAGGAGAGGCUACUAUGGAGUAUGGCAGGAGUUUGAGGCGCAGUAUCCAGACGCCAAUGUCCUCUUGGUCACCGUCACCAACGAGGAGUCGAGGCGGAUCGAGCAGCAGUCAGACAACCAGACCAAGGCGGAGAUCAUGGAGGUGUUGAGGAGCAUGUUCCCCGAUGAGGAUGUCCCUGACGCGACAGACAUCCUCGUGCCACGGUGGUGGUCCGAUAGGUUCUACAUGGGCACCUUCUCCAACUGGCCCAUCGGCGUCAACCGCUACGAAUACGACCAGCUCAGGGCACCGGUCGGCAGGGUUUACUUCACCGGGGAGCACACCAACGAGCACUACAAUGGCCAUGUCCAUGGAGCUUAUCUUUCAGGUAUUGAUUCGGCGGACAUUCUAAUCAACUGUGCUCAGAAGAGUAUGUGCAAAUACCACGUCCAGGGCAAGUAUGACUAA